UACGUAGGGUGCGAGCGUUGUCCGGAAUUAUUGGGCGUAAAGGGCUCGUAGGCGGUUUGUCGCGUCGGGAGUGAAAACCCAGGGUUUAACUCUGGGCUUGCUUUCGAUACGGGCAGACUAGAGGUAUGCAGGGGAGAACGGAAUUCCUGGUGUAGCGGUGAAAUGCGCAGAUAUCAGGAGGAAUACCGAUGGAGCGAAGGCAGGUCUCUGGGCUGGACACUGGACGCUCAUGCACGGAAAGCGUGGGGA
Molecule: ribosomal RNA, 249 nt
Filed under: uncultured bacterium
Lineage: Bacteria
Description: partial 16S ribosomal RNA
Rfam family: Bacterial small subunit ribosomal RNA
Source: RNAcentral